Molecule: long non-coding RNA, 631 nt
Organism: Pan troglodytes (chimpanzee)
Lineage: Eukaryota; Metazoa; Chordata; Mammalia; Primates; Hominidae
Exons: 3
Source: RefSeq, a predicted model, not a curated record
CCCCAAUUAUGCUUUUAGAAAUUUUCCUAAACGAAAGGAGAUUGCUAACAGAACAAGAGUCUUAAAACUGCAUGAAAUUCUACACUGAGAGUCUUGAAGAAAGGCUGUUCAAACAAAAACUCCAUGAGACCAGGAGAGGACAUUCUUAUGUAUGUUCGUGGACUUCUAUAAAAUGACACUUUCAGAAGACAGAGGACUCUUCUUGUCCUUCGGAUGGCUUUAUCUCACCAAUGCUCAAAAAAAAUGAGUCACUAUGUCCACCUAGCUCAAGGAGAAGUUGUGUCCGAAAUUGGUGGGUUCUUGGUCUCGCUGACUUCAAGAAUGAAGCCACGGACCCUCUCGGUGAGUGUUACAGUUCUUAAAGAUGGUGUGUCCAGAGUUUGUUCCUUCUGAUGUUUGGAUGUGUGUUUGGAGUUUCUUCCUUCUGGUGGGUUCUUGGUCUCACUGGCUUCAGGAGUGAAGCUGCACACCUUAGCGGUGUGUUACAGCUCUUAAAGUGGCACAUCUGGAGUUGUUCAUUCCUCCCAUCUGAAGUUUGUUCACCCCAGCCAGAGUUGUUCAUUCCUCCUGGUGGGUUCAUGGUCUCACUGGCCUCAGGAGUGAAGCUGCAGACCUUCAUGGUGAGUUUUAC